RNAcentral lists this ribosomal RNA (497 nucleotides) under uncultured bacterium. RNAcentral's name for it is "partial 16S ribosomal RNA". It matches the Rfam family "Bacterial small subunit ribosomal RNA", at positions 28 to 507 of the family's 1533-position model. The record is from RNAcentral.
GAUGAACGCUGGCGGCGCGCCUAAUACAUGCAAGUCGAGCGAACAGAUGAGGAGCUUGCUCCUCUGACGUUAGCGGCGGACGGGUGAGUAACACGUGGAUAACCUACCUAUAAGACUGGAAUAACUUCGGGAAACCGGAGCUAAUACCGGAUAAUAUAUUGAACCGCAUGGUUCAAUAGUGAAAGACGGUUUUGCUGUCACUUAUAGAUGGAUCCGCCCCGCAUUAGCUAGUUGGUAAGGUAACGGCUUACCAAGGCAACGAUGCGUAGCCGACCUGAGAGGGUGAUCGGCCACACUGGAACUGAGACACGGUCCAGACUCCUACGGGAGGCAGCAGUAGGGAAUCUUCCGCAAUGGGCGAAAGCCUGACGGAGCAACGCCGCGUGAGUGAUGAAGGUCUUCGGAUCGUAAAACUCUGUUAUUAGGGAAGAACAAAUGUGUAAGUAACUAUGCACGUCUUGACGGUACCUAAUCAGAAAGCCACGGCUAACUACGUG